Molecule: ribosomal RNA, 308 nt
Filed under: Streptomyces buecherae
Lineage: Bacteria; Bacillati; Actinomycetota; Actinomycetes; Kitasatosporales; Streptomycetaceae
Description: partial 23S ribosomal RNA
Rfam family: Bacterial large subunit ribosomal RNA
Source: RNAcentral
ACAGUGAACGCGAGCAUCUGUGGCCAAGUUUUUAAGGGCGCACGGUGGAUGCCUUGGCACCAGGAACCGAUGAAGGACGUGGGAGGCCGCGAUAGGCCCCGGGGAGCUGUCAACCGAGCUUUGAUCCGGGGGUGUCCGAAUGGGGAAACCCGGCAGUCGUCAUGGGCUGUCACCCGUACCUGAAUAUAUAGGGUAUGUGGAGGGAACGCGGGGAAGUGAAACAUCUCAGUACCCGCAGGAAGAGAAAACAACCGUGAUUCCGGGAGUAGUGGCGAGCGAAACUGGAUGAGGCUAAACCAGUCAUGUGU